RNAcentral lists this small RNA (582 nucleotides) under Pan troglodytes (chimpanzee). RNAcentral's name for it is "retained intron". The record is from RNAcentral. Lineage: Eukaryota; Metazoa; Chordata; Mammalia; Primates; Hominidae.
CCCUUACGGCGUCGGAGAGAUGGCGGAGUUGGACAUCGGGCAGCACUGCCAGGUGGAGCAUUGCCGGCAGCGAGAUUUUCUUCCAUUUGUGUGUGAUGAUUGUUCAGGAAUAUUUUGCCUUGAACACAGAAGCAGGGAGUCUCAUGGUUGUCCUGAGGUGACUGUAAUCAAUGAGAGACUGAAGACAGAUCAACAUACAUCUUACCCAUGCUCUUUCAAAGACUGUGCUGAGAGAGAACUUGUGGCAGUUAUAUGUCCUUACUGUGAGAAGAAUUUUUGCCUGAGACACCGUCAUCAGUCAGAUCAUGAGUGUGAAAAACUGGAAAUCCCAAAGCCUCGAAUGGCUGCCACUCAGAAACUUGUUAAAGACAUUAUUGGUAAGUAUCUAGAAAGCGUGUUUUGUUGCUUUCCUAGUUCCAGAGCUCCUGCUUCUUAUGUCUACUUUCCAAUUAUGGGAGGCAUCAUUAAUAACCCCAGUGGUAUUCGUAUUAACUUGUAUUUUGAUGAUAUUCUUGUGACAGUAUUUCUUAUGAGGUCUACCUGACCAAUGGAAAUUUGGAAAUUAUUUGGAGGUACUGCACU